This 886-nucleotide ribosomal RNA is filed under the name Enterobacter asburiae. Its description in RNAcentral is "bacterial SSU rRNA". It matches the Rfam family "Bacterial small subunit ribosomal RNA", at positions 53 to 931 of the family's 1533-position model. The record is from RNAcentral. Lineage: Bacteria; Pseudomonadati; Pseudomonadota; Gammaproteobacteria; Enterobacterales; Enterobacteriaceae.
ACCAUGCAGUCGAGCGGCAGCGGAAGUAGCUUGCUACUUUGCCGGCGAGCGGCGGACGGGUGAGUAAUGUCUGGGAAACUGCCUGAUGGAGGGGGAUAACUACUGGAAACGGUAGCUAAUACCGCAUAAUGUCGCAAGACCAAAGAGGGGGACCUUCGGGCCUCUUGCCAUCAGAUGUGCCCAGAUGGGAUUAGCUAGUAGGUGGGGUAACGGCUCACCUAGGCGACGAUCCCUAGCUGGUCUGAGAGGAUGACCAGCCACACUGGAACUGAGACACGGUCCAGACUCCUACGGGAGGCAGCAGUGGGGAAUAUUGCACAGUGGGCGCAAGCCUGAUGCAGCCAUGCCGCGUGUAUGAAGAAGGCCUUCGGGUUGUAAAGUACUUUCAGCGGGGAGGAAGGCGAUAAGGUUAAUAACCUUGUCGAUUGACGUUACCCGCAGAAGAAGCACCGGCUAACUCCGUGCCAGCAGCCGCGGUAAUACGGAGGGUGCAAGCGUUAAUCGGAAUUACUGGGCGUAAAGCGCACGCAGGCGGUCUGUCAAGUCGGAUGUGAAAUCCCCGGGCUCAACCUGGGAACUGCAUUCGAAACUGGCAGGCUAGAGUCUUGUAGAGGGGGGUAGAAUUCCAGGUGUAGCGGUGAAAUGCGUAGAGAUCUGGAGGAAUACCGGUGGCGAACGCGGCCCCCUGGACAAAGACUGACGCUCAGGUGCGAAAGCGUGGGGAGCAAACAGGAUUAUAUACCCUGGUAGUCCACGCCGUAAACGAUGUCGACUUGGAGGUUGUGCCCUUGAGGCGUGUCUUCCGGAGCUAACGCGUUAAGUCGACCGCCUGGGGAGUACGGCCGCAGGUUAAAACUCAAUGAAUUGACGGGGGCCCGCACAAGCG